GCUGGGUAGAGUGGCGCACACCUGUAACCCCAGCACCUCAGGAGGCUGAGGCAGGAGAAUCACAAGUUCAAAGCCAGCCUCAGCAACUGUGAGGCGCUAAACAACUCAGUGAGACCCUGUCUCUA
Molecule: small RNA, 125 nt
Filed under: Marmota monax (woodchuck)
Lineage: Eukaryota; Metazoa; Chordata; Mammalia; Rodentia; Sciuridae
Source: RNAcentral